GGGGCUGUAGCUCAGAGGCAGAGCGCUCACCUGGCAUGCCAGGUGUGAGUCAUUGGGUUCGAUCCUCAGCACCA
RNAcentral lists this transfer RNA (74 nucleotides) under Urocitellus parryii (Arctic ground squirrel). RNAcentral's name for it is "Spermophilus parryii (Arctic ground squirrel) tRNA". It matches the Rfam family "tRNA". Rfam says of the family: Transfer RNA (tRNA) molecules are approximately 80 nucleotides in length. The record is from Rfam by way of RNAcentral. RNAcentral also lists the same sequence under 1 other name. Lineage: Eukaryota; Metazoa; Chordata; Mammalia; Rodentia; Sciuridae.